RNAcentral lists this ribosomal RNA (482 nucleotides) under uncultured bacterium. RNAcentral describes it as "partial 16S ribosomal RNA". It matches the Rfam family "Bacterial small subunit ribosomal RNA", at positions 30 to 507 of the family's 1533-position model. The record is from RNAcentral.
AUUGAACGCUGGCGGCAUGCUUUACACAUGCAAGUCGAACGGUAACAGGCCGCAAGGUUCUGACGAGUGGCGAACGGUUGAGUAAUGCAUCGGAACGUGCCCAGUCGUGGGUGUUAACUACUCGAAAGAUUAGCUAAUACCGCAUACGAUCUAUGGAUGACUGCGGGGGACCGUAAGGCCUCGCGCGAUUUUAGCCGCCGAUGUCAGAUUAUGUAGUUGGUGGGGUAAAGGCUCACCAAGCCAACGAUCUGUAGCUGGUCUGAGAGGACGACCAGCCACACUGGGACUGAGACACGGCCCAGACUCCUACGGGAGGCAGCAGUGGGGAAUAUUGGACAAUGGGCGCAAGCCUGAUCCAGCAAUGCCGCGUGCAGGAAGAAGGCCUUCGGGUUGUAAACUGCUUUUGUACGGAACGAAACGGAGCUGGUUAAUACCCGGGGCUAAUGACGGUACCGUAAGAAUAAGCACCGGCUAACUACGUG